Non-coding RNA from Parasteatoda tepidariorum (common house spider), 1024 nucleotides. The record is from RefSeq and is a predicted model, not a curated record. NCBI's taxonomy places the organism in Eukaryota, Metazoa, Arthropoda, Arachnida, Araneae, Theridiidae.
CUAUGUAAAUGGCAACUAUGUUACCUUAUGGCCUCUUUACAAAGAUUCUUCGAAACUCAAAAUAGCUAUAACAGGGAGAGUGGACCCACAGCCUAAUUGGAAGAUAUUUAAAAUUAACAUUGUCUUCCAAACUCGUACGAUAAUUAUUAAUAUUUCAAUUAAUGAUUUAUUUGAUAACUCUAUGAGGUUAUCACUCACUUCUAAUUAGAAUAAAUUCUAGAAAAUUUGCAUGUAAUAAAAUAACUAAACGUUUUCUGCCAAAUUAUAUAUAUAUUUUUGUUUAAGUAAGAGAAAGAUAUAUAUGUAAAAUUUACGUAUUAUAUAUAGCAUAGAUUUUGCAUUUUAAUUUACUUCUUUCAUUUCACUGACUUUUAACCCACAACCACUUUUAAUCCUUCAAAAAAUACAACAGAAUAGAGACAAACGCAAGUAUGAAUUUAAUUUUAGAGCAAUAACUAAGGGAAAUGGAUUUCCAUGGCAUGCAUUUAAAAUAAGUUUUCAAGUUUAAUUUAUAGCGAUGUUGGGGAGUUGUCUGCAGAUACUGAUGUGAGUAUGCAGCAUGUGGAUGCAAACACGGAGGAUGAAUUUGGAAUUAACAGUGGAAAUGAUAUGACUCCAAGGCACAACCACAUCAAGAGUUUCUUUUGGAAAAUGCGAUACGUGUGUAGAGAUUAAAGGUUUUCUCUUUUGGAUUGCUAGGAGGGAAGGAUCCCACUGAUGGAGUCAGAAAAAAUACUUACUAGAAUCAUCUCAAAUAAACUGGCCACUGAAAUGAACUGUGUUGGAGGACGUAAAAGGUCCAUACAGGAGUUUCCCUCUAUUUUAAAGCUAAUUUUAGGAUCUCUAAGGAGCAACAAGUUCUUUGAAAAAACUCAACAAAAUGUUGUGGAGGAUGUAGUAAAAAGAUGGCUAAGAUCGGCGGGCGAUCGUGAUGGUGGAAGAUCCAGAAGAAUGAAGAGGUCGAUACAAUUAGCAGAAGCAAAUAUUUUGUAGCAAUAAUAAUAAAAAAAUUUCUGUUUUUUCA